Molecule: long non-coding RNA, 714 nt
Filed under: Monodelphis domestica (gray short-tailed opossum)
Lineage: Eukaryota; Metazoa; Chordata; Mammalia; Didelphimorphia; Didelphidae
Description: lncRNA (ENSMODG00000035386.2)
Source: RNAcentral
CACAGGGUGUCGAUGGAAACAAACACGGCAGGCCCAUCAGGCCCUCACAUUUCCCUUAAGUGCCAAGAGGCGGUUCUUUCUCAGUCACCACAAUUGUUCCUGUUUAACAUGGCAGCCUUAAGCCAGACAUAAUUAGACUUUUUCUUGACAAAUCAUUUGUGCCAAGUCUUGACAGGUUGGAAACCGAAACGGUUAUGCUGCAUUCUUUAGGGUCUGAACCAGACAAGAUUUAAAAAAAAAAAGAAAUAAAAUGAAAGCGAGUACAUGGUAAGCUGUAACAGAACCACAUCUCCACAGUGACCCUGUGUUCUGAAUGUCCAAUUUGUCAGAGCUCAAUCUAUGUACAAAAGGCUCUGAAGGAAGUGGCCACAGUACCAACAAGUUUCCAUAGGAGAGAGUUCAGUAGAAGUCUGGAGAAUCAAAAUGGAGAGGAACUAGACUGUGCCUGGAAUGGAUGUUCAACAUAUGUGUACAUUGAUGGCAGCAACAUUGAAAACAGGAGAAGAGUGAGAAAUGUGAAGAAAGGCUAUAUCAAAAGUUAAAUUCAUUUUCAAAAAGGAAUAACUGGAAUCCACAUAUUUCCACUAAACUAGGAACAUCCUUUUCCCCAAUGUGUUAUUUAAGGUACAGAUUUCACUGAUCUAGGCCCUGCCUUCAAUCAGUCAUUCUUUGGUUCUGAGUCAUACUAAUUUGUUCCUUAUUUCCUAAACCAAC